GAUGAACGCUGGCGGCGUGCCUAAUACAUGCAAGUCGAGCGAACAGACGAGGAGCUUGCUCCUCUGACGUUAGCGGCGGACGGGUGAGUAACACGUGGAUAACCUACCUAUAAGACUGGGAUAACUUCGGGAAACCGGAGCUAAUACCGGAUAAUAUAUUGAACCGCAUGGUUCAAUAGUGAAAGACGGUUUUGCUGUCACUUAUAGAUGGAUCCGCGCCGCAUUAGCUAGUUGGUAAGGUAACGGCUUACCAAGGCAACGAUGCGUAGCCGACCUGAGAGGGGGAUUGGCCAAACUUGAACUGAGACACGGUCCAGACUCCUACGGGAGGCAGCAGUAGGGAAUCUUCCGCAAUGGGCGAAAGCUUGACGGAGCAACGCCGCGUGAGUGAUGAAGGUCUUCGGAUCGUAAAACUCUGUUAUUAGGGAAGAACAAAUGUGUAAGUAACUAUGCACGUCUUGACGGUACCUAAUCAGAAAGCCACGGCUAACUACGUG
This 497-nucleotide ribosomal RNA is filed under the name uncultured bacterium. RNAcentral describes it as "partial 16S ribosomal RNA". It matches the Rfam family "Bacterial small subunit ribosomal RNA", at positions 28 to 507 of the family's 1533-position model. The record is from RNAcentral.